GGUUGGAGAGAAAUGAUUUAAUAAGUUUCAAUUUUAAAAUAAAUAAUUUUUCAAAAGAGAAAAAAGAAAAAGAAAAAUGAGAGAUGGAGAUAUAUAUAUAUAUAUAUAUAUAUAUAUAUAUAUAAACACACAAGCACACACACACACACAGACAGAGCAAAGACUACUUUUUUAUUUACUCUCAGAUGAUAUCCAUCUUCCAGUCACCCCUACACAAGACCCCCAUCCCACAUCUGUCACUUCCCCCUUCCCUUUUCCUCUAUAAGAGUGCUCCCCCACCUACCCACUCCCACCCCACCCCUUGAGCAUCCCCCUACAAUGGAGCACCAAACAGGACCAAGGGCCUCUUCUCCCACUGAUGGCCACAUCAGGUCAUCAGCAAGCUCCUCUUGGCAACAGCAACAGUGUCAGGGUUUGGUGUCGGCAGACAGGAUGGAUUCCCAGGUGGGGCAGUUCUGGUGGCCCUUCCUUCAGUUUUUCUUCCCUGUCUUUCUUUUGGACAGGAACAUUUCUUGGUUAAAAACUUUGAGAUGGGUGGGUGGCCCCAUUCCUCAACUGGAGGCUGUGCCUAUGUACUGAAGGUGGUUCCUGCAGGUUCUAUCUUCCCUUCACUGCGAGCGUUUCUACUCAAAGCAUCACUUUAGAGAGGUCCCAGGAGGCUCUUGCUUCCCUGGCAUCUGAGACCCUCCAGUGGCUCAUCCCCGACUGCUACAUAUGUUUUUAUUCAUUUCCCUAAUGCUCCAGUCCUGCAUUGAAGGGGGACAGGAUGAUCUUGGGAGGUAGAGAGGGGGAGCACCUGGGAGGGAGAGAGGAGGGGGCAGAAAUAAGGGCAGAGCAGUAUCAGGCACUGGAGGGGACAGGAAAUUGAGAUACUAAAGCACAGGGGAUAAAACUUAUGUUGGAGCGGAAUUACCACUCAAGCAUGGUUCUGCUACUUGCUGGUUGAUUGGAAUUGGUAUUUUUUUAAAUGUAGUCUCACUUUUCAUUGUUUAGGGAAUGAUGACAUAAAAAAAGAAGAAUGCUCAUGUUUAUUGCAAAUGAGCGUCUUCACUUACAUCCAUUUUCCAGCAACUGUCAUAAUAUUUUUCUACUUUGUGAAUGG
RNAcentral lists this long non-coding RNA (1102 nucleotides) under Mus musculus (house mouse). Its description in RNAcentral is "long non-coding RNA chr11:42566623-42567725". The record is from RNAcentral. Lineage: Eukaryota; Metazoa; Chordata; Mammalia; Rodentia; Muridae.